AUCUAUGGCCAUACCACCCCGAAUGUUCCUGAUCUCAUCUGAUAUCAGAAGCUAAACAGGGUAGGGCCUGCUUAGCACUUGUAUAGGAGAAAGUAUAUGAAGCAGAAU
Molecule: ribosomal RNA, 108 nt
Filed under: Fukomys damarensis (Damara mole-rat)
Lineage: Eukaryota; Metazoa; Chordata; Mammalia; Rodentia; Bathyergidae
Source: RNAcentral